GACGAACGCUGGCGGCGUGCUUAACACAUGCAAGUCGAACGGAAAGGCCCUGCUUUUGUGGGGUGCUCGAGUGGCGAACGGGUGAGUAACACGUGAGUAACCUGCCCUUGACUUUGUGAUAACUUCAUGAAACUGGGGCUAAUACCGGAUAUGAGCUCCUGCUGCAUGUUGGGGGUUGGAAAGUUUCGGCGGUUUGGGAUGGACUCGCGGCUUACCAGCUUGUUGGUGGGGUAGUGGCUUACCAAGGCUUUGACGGGUAGCCGGCAUGAGAGGGUGAACGGCCACCUUGGGCCUGAGAUACGGACCAGACUGCUACGGGAGGCAGCAGUGGGGAAUAUUGCACAAUGGGCGGAAGCCUGAUGCAGCAACGCCGCGUGCGGGAUGACGGCCUUCGGGUUGUAAACCGCUUUGGCCUGUGACGAAGCGUGAGUGACGGUAAUGGGUAAAGAAGCACCGGCUAACUACGUG
RNAcentral lists this ribosomal RNA (468 nucleotides) under uncultured bacterium. RNAcentral's name for it is "partial 16S ribosomal RNA". It matches the Rfam family "Bacterial small subunit ribosomal RNA", at positions 28 to 507 of the family's 1533-position model. The record is from RNAcentral.